GGAGUUGUGGCUCAACAGUAGAGCGCUUGCCUUACAAGUAUGAGACCCUGGGUUUGAUCCUCAGCACCA
This 69-nucleotide transfer RNA is filed under the name Ictidomys tridecemlineatus (thirteen-lined ground squirrel). RNAcentral's name for it is "Spermophilus tridecemlineatus (thirteen-lined ground squirrel) tRNA". It matches the Rfam family "tRNA". Rfam says of the family: Transfer RNA (tRNA) molecules are approximately 80 nucleotides in length. Their secondary structure includes four short double-helical elements and three loops (D, anti-codon, and T loops). Lineage: Eukaryota; Metazoa; Chordata; Mammalia; Rodentia; Sciuridae. The record is from Rfam by way of RNAcentral.